Anaerococcus vaginalis ATCC 51170 is the source of this 72-nucleotide transfer RNA. It matches the Rfam family "tRNA". From Rfam's summary of the family: Transfer RNA (tRNA) molecules are approximately 80 nucleotides in length. Their secondary structure includes four short double-helical elements and three loops (D, anti-codon, and T loops). The record is from Rfam. Lineage: Bacteria; Bacillati; Bacillota; Tissierellia; Tissierellales; Peptoniphilaceae.
GGCCCUAUGGUCAAGCGGUUAAGACAUCGCCCUUUCACGGCGGUAUCCCGGGUUCAAAUCCCGGUAGGGUCA